RNAcentral lists this ribosomal RNA (503 nucleotides) under uncultured soil bacterium. RNAcentral describes it as "bacterial SSU rRNA". It matches the Rfam family "Bacterial small subunit ribosomal RNA", at positions 26 to 518 of the family's 1533-position model. The record is from RNAcentral.
AGAAUCAACGCUGGCGGCGUGCCUCAGACAUGCAAGUCGAACGCGAAAGUCCCCUUCGGGGGACAAGUAGAGUGGCGCACGGGUGAGUAACACGUAGGUAAUCUACCUUUGGAUGGGGAAUAACAACCGGAAACGGUUGCUAAUACCGCAUAAUGCAGCGGCACCUAAUGGUGACAGUUGUUAAAGCGGGGGAUCGAAAGACCUCGCGUCUGAAGAGGAGCCUGCGGCGGAUUAGCUAGUUGGUAAGGUAAUGGCUUACCAAGGCUACGAUCCGUAACCGGCCUGAGAGGGCGGUCGGUCACACUGACACUGACAUACGGGUCAGACUCCGUACGGGAGGCAGCAGUCGGGAAUUUUGGGCAAGUGGGCGAAAGCCUGACCCAGCAACGCCGCGUGAAGGAUGAAGUAUUUCGGUAUGUAAACUUCGAAAGAAUAAGGAAGAAAUAAAUAGAACGGUAACUUAAGUUUAAUAAGGUCCGACUAACUACGUGCCAGCAGCCGAC